UAGGGAAUCUUCCACAAUGGGCGAAAGCCUGAUGGAGCAACACCGCGUGAGUGAAGAAGGGUUUCGGCUCGUAAAGCUACUGUUGUUAAAGAAGAACACGUAUGAGAGUAACUGUUCAUACGUUGACGGUAUUUAACCAGAAAGUCACGGCUAACUACGUGCCAG
Molecule: ribosomal RNA, 165 nt
Filed under: uncultured bacterium
Lineage: Bacteria
Description: partial 16S ribosomal RNA
Rfam family: Bacterial small subunit ribosomal RNA
Source: RNAcentral